AGACUUUGAUCCUGGCUCAGAGCGAACGCUGGCGGCAGGCCUAACACAUGCGAGUCGAACGAGCCUUCGGGCUAGUGGCGGACGGGUGAGUAACACGUGGGAACGUACCUUUAGGUUCGGAAUAACGCAGAGAAAUUUGCGCUAAUACCGAAUGUGCCCUUCGGGGGAAAGAUUUAUCGCCUUUAGAGCGGCCCGCGUUAGAUUAGCUAGUUGGUGGGGUAAAGGCCCACCAAGGCUACGAUCUAUAGCUGGUCUGAGAGGAUGAUCAGCCACAUUGGGACUGAGACACGGCCCAAACUCCUACGGGAGGCAGCAGUGGGGAAUCUUGCGCAAUGGUCGAAAGACUGACGCAGCCAUGCCGCGUGAAUGAUGAAGGUCUUAGGAUUGUAAAAUUCUUUCAGCAGGGACGAUAAUGACGGUACCUGCAGAAGAAGCCCCGGCUAACUUCGUGCCAGCAGCCGCGGUAAUACGGAGGGAGCUAGCGUUGUUCGGAAUUACUGGGCGUAAAGC
RNAcentral lists this ribosomal RNA (510 nucleotides) under uncultured Alphaproteobacteria bacterium. RNAcentral's name for it is "bacterial SSU rRNA". It matches the Rfam family "Bacterial small subunit ribosomal RNA", at positions 8 to 566 of the family's 1533-position model. Lineage: Bacteria; Pseudomonadati; Pseudomonadota; Alphaproteobacteria. The record is from RNAcentral.